UUUUUAUCUAUCGACUCGGUG
This 21-nucleotide non-coding RNA is filed under the name Caenorhabditis elegans. The record is from RNAcentral. Lineage: Eukaryota; Metazoa; Nematoda; Chromadorea; Rhabditida; Rhabditidae.